GAAGCGGCAAAAGCUCAAAUUUGAAAUCUGGCACUUUCAGUGUCCGAGUUGUAAUUUGAAGAAGGUAUCUUUGGGUCUGGCUCUUGUCUAUGUUUCUUGGAACAGAACGUCACAGAGGGUGAGAAUCCCGUGCGAUGAGAUGUCCCAGACCUAUGUAAAGUUCCUUCGAAGAGUCGAGUUGUUUGGGAAUGCAGCUCUAAGUGGGUGGUAAAUUCCAUCUAAAGCUAAAUAUUGGCGAGAGACCGAUAGCGAACAAGUACAGUGAUGGAAAGAUGAAAAGAACUUUGAAAAGAGAGUGAAAAAGUACGUGAAAUUGUUGAAAGGGAAGGGCUUGAGAUCAGACUUGGUAUUUUGUAUGUUACUCUCUCGGGGGUGGCCUCUACAGUUUACCGGGCCAGCAUCAGUUUGAGCGGUAGGAUAAGUGCAAAGAAAUGUGGCACUGCUUCGGUAGUGUGUUAUAGUCUUUGUCGAUACUGCCAGCUUAGACUGAGGACUGCGGCUUCGGCCUAGGAUGUUGGCAUAAUGAUCUUAAGUCGCCCGUCUUGAACCACGGACCA
This 557-nucleotide ribosomal RNA is filed under the name Lodderomyces parapsilosis. RNAcentral's name for it is "eukaryotic LSU rRNA". It matches the Rfam family "Eukaryotic large subunit ribosomal RNA", at positions 95 to 668 of the family's 3401-position model. Lineage: Eukaryota; Fungi; Ascomycota; Pichiomycetes; Serinales; Debaryomycetaceae. The record is from RNAcentral.